This is a transfer RNA of Vanderwaltozyma polyspora DSM 70294, 72 nucleotides long. It matches the Rfam family "tRNA". From Rfam's summary of the family: Transfer RNA (tRNA) molecules are approximately 80 nucleotides in length. Lineage: Eukaryota; Fungi; Ascomycota; Saccharomycetes; Saccharomycetales; Saccharomycetaceae. The record is from Rfam.
GGUCCUAUAGUGUAGUGGUUAUCACCGUCGGUUCUGAUCCGACUAACCCCAGUUCGAAUCCGGGUAGGACCU